AUGGGCUCCAACCAUUUCAUCAUAUUCCCCUCAACUGCCCCUUGCUUGGCUAGUUCUCCAUUUCGUCACUGCUGCUUUCCCUCACUCCUUACUUUUUCUUCUUCAUACUAGUUUCAUAUUGUAUUUCUACAUGGAUUUUUUUCCUAUGUUUUUAUUUAUUUAUUUAUUAUUUUUGCAUUUCUUUGUGGGUUUAUUUUCCUCACUAUCCACUUCACUUCUUUCCCCAUCCUCCUCUUUAGGUAGGCCCCACCCUUGUUUUUGGCUCACAACUCAUUCUUUUGCUUUGGGUGCUGCUGCUGUUGCAUGCUUGGACUAGUGGUGCUCUUUCCAGAGGAGGGGAAGAAGCAGAGGAAGAGGAAGAAAAAGAAACACUACAUGCAUGGAUUGCAAGUGUGUGCAGAAUGAAAAGUCACAAUUCCCCCACUGGAGAAGCUCCCAGCUGCACAGGUUCGAAGGCAUAUACAUAUAUUUUGGGGUCUGGUGCCUGCCAACAGUAAAGAGUAAGGUCCUGGGAGAUGACAAAGAAGAAAUCAAAAAACAAAAACUGCAAGAAGAUGCCAGGAUGAAUGGUAGGGCAAUUCAAUAAGGAGAAGCUGCACAGGCAAUGGGAAUUUGUGGGGAAAUAUCUGGGUACAUGAAUGGGAUGGACACCACGCCAGAGAGUAAGUGCAUUGAAAUGGGGGAUGAGGAAGUAAUGGAUGAAAUUCACCGAUGAAUGGACUCUCACAUGACCCAGUGAUGUGGAUUGAACACUGUCCCUCACAACAAAUUGAGGCAAUGGAGAGAUGUGGUAGCCACACCUCCAACCAACCAACCCUCUCCCUACCACCACCACCAUCACAUCAUCCUCUGUGGAACGGACACCUCUUCUCAUCCAUCCUUCUUUCUGUUCAUCCAUUUAUCUGAUCACACAGCAUUAAGGCUUCAUGGGAUGUAUCUGUGUCACUGUAACUGUAUCGCUGGAGGCUUUUCUACAAGCUCUCAUUGGUGGGUGACUUCCGAGAAUAAUAAUAAUAAUAAAACUGCGGGAAGAAGACUAGGGCAGAAAAUUAAAGAGAAGGAAUAUAUAUAUAUAUAUAUAUAUAUAUAUAUCCUGGUGUUGAUUAUGCACCCCAUGAAUUUUGAAAUGCUCUAAGCCCCCACUAGGAGACAGGAAUGGAUCAGGUAUUCCCAUUCCCUUUACCAGAUUUUCUUUA
Non-coding RNA from Physcomitrium patens, 1196 nucleotides. The record is from RefSeq and is a predicted model, not a curated record. NCBI's taxonomy places the organism in Eukaryota, Viridiplantae, Streptophyta, Bryopsida, Funariales, Funariaceae.